Molecule: non-coding RNA, 69 nt
Organism: Rattus norvegicus (Norway rat)
Lineage: Eukaryota; Metazoa; Chordata; Mammalia; Rodentia; Muridae
Source: Rfam
GGGGAUUUGGCUCAGUGGUAGAGCGCUUGCCUAGCAAGCACAAGGCCCUGGGUUCGGUCCUCAGCUCCA